CGGGAGCUUUCCCCGGGC
This 18-nucleotide small nuclear RNA is filed under the name Arabidopsis thaliana (thale cress). Its description in RNAcentral is "snRNA_10674". Lineage: Eukaryota; Viridiplantae; Streptophyta; Magnoliopsida; Brassicales; Brassicaceae. The record is from RNAcentral.